Molecule: long non-coding RNA, 5793 nt
Organism: Chroicocephalus ridibundus (black-headed gull)
Lineage: Eukaryota; Metazoa; Chordata; Aves; Charadriiformes; Laridae
Exons: 11
Source: RefSeq, a predicted model, not a curated record
UUACCCUGUGGGGAAAGAGGACGGGUAGGAGAGGAGGAAAGAGCAUUCGUAUGCAGGGUGUGAAAGCUGCGCUGCAGGGGUGAUGGUUUUCUCUGGUAGUGGCACAUCAUUCCUAAAUCCUUACCAACAUCUCCAGGAAACUGCUAAAGGAGUCCUCUGCUGGCAGGCCUUUGUGUUACCAGGGUUGUUUCACAUACUGUAGUUUCUCCCUUCAAAUGAAAGUUCAAAGCUACCUGCCAGUUACGUGGCACCGAUUUAGUGUUGGAUAAUGGGCAGGAGUAUAACAGCCCUGCUUUUUUCACACCACUGUGUCUUAACUGAUCUGCUCUCUGAAAAUACAAUUAGUUUUCCAGGCAUCAGUAUCUAUGGGAAGCAAGUUUCAGAGAGAAAGCACAGCUGCAGCUGAAACUCAUUUUUACCUCACCUACACGAACACACACCUAAUAUGCCUCAGCCCUUGCCCAGUGAAGAAGCCAAGCACUGUGGGAUUUCUCCUACGGACCACACGCAGACACCACCACUCGGAACCUGCAUGUGUGGGCUGAACGUUUCAAGAGAAAUUUGUCAAAGCUACCCCCCACACCAACUGGUAUGCUUCAUUAAGGAAGCAAAGCCAAAAAAUCGCUGGUCUUUGGCUUCCCCAACCACAAUGAAAAAGAGUCACUGUUUCCAUGGAGCCUGAGGUCCCUGCUUAGUCCUCUCCUGAUGACCAGACCUGUGGUGUCCAGCUCUGUUCCCUGGGAUCACACCUGUCUCGAUGCUAAGCAGAAAGCAGUGCAAUUUUGGGGCAGGGCUCUUGGCUCUGAAGAGCGUGGCCCAGGAGGAGUGGAAGCAAUACCCCGAUGCUGUGUGUGCGACCUCUCUAUCGGAGCUUGCAGCCACCGGGUCACUUUCCCGAAGGGAGCCUCUGUCUGGACACGGUGCCUGGGGACCUUUGGACAGCAGGGAACAGCCGGGAAUUGGAAGAAGGUGGUUCCUGUUGUCCUGGCGUUCACUGGAGACUGAGGUGAGGUUUUGCAGCUGUCCCUGGGCUGGGCUGGGAAGGGUUCGCUUUUGUGCUGGGGUACUGGCAGCUGCUAACUCUCUGUUCCCUGGGGCCUUGGCACCUAAAUCCACUCCCCCCGGCGCAGAAAAUGAAGGACACAUUGUCACCAGGUAGAGAAGAGAUUCUGCACACACGUUCAGACACCGAGAGGUUAAUGUUGCCGCAGAAGUAGGUGGAUGGGUGCACGUAGGGUACAUAUGUCUAAGCUGUUACCGGGGUAGCUCAGGUCUCAGCAGAGGCACAAGUGGCCGCAAAGUCUGGGGAAGUUUAGACAUGACCUAUACAAAAAGCUGACAGGCACCAAGUUUCAUUGUAUUUGCAAAUCCUUUUGAUAGCCUUUAUAUUUUAAAUGCAGAAUAGUUACUGCCUGAGUUUUUAAAUGCCCCCUGGUAGUGCAAGAAUGCAAGGGAAAAACCUUUUAUCAAAUUCUUUGAAAGAAGCGUUGUUCUUAGCUGUUCAUAUUACUUUUUUUGAAGCCUGUAAUAUACUCUGAUCCUACUGACUGCACACUCGCAGUCACACAACUCAGGGGAAAAUUACCCCUAACUGAAAUGAAACUGGGAUCCUUGGACAUCCCUGUACUGGGAUUUGGGGUUUGUUGCUGGCUCUUCAUUAGCGACUCCCUCCUGGACUGAUGGAGGAUGGAGGAACUCGGGCAUGGCAGAGUCAGGCAAGGAGCAUAGUUUUAACUGUGACAUUCUUAAAAAUUUGAAAUAAUAAGAAAAGAAAAAGACCUGCAGGUUUUGUGGCACUGAAAGCUUUCCUGAGCUUGUGCCAGUUUCUCUGAAUUUGUCUUUUUAAAAAAAACAAUUAAAAAGCAAUAGUUCUGUAAAACUGACAAGUGAAACCUCAUUUAAAGGCAUUGCAAUUUGUUGUUUUUGAGAAGUGUCCAUUAUUAAUAUUUUUACAUUAACUUUUUUUGUCAACUGCUUGCAUUCCAAAUGAAAGAUUUCAAAUUAAACCAAGCAUUAAAUUUCAGUAAAACCAAAACUCUGAAAAGUCUAAAUCUAUUCAUGUUUUCCUGACAGUAGCACACUGUAGUCCAAAUUAAUGCAGAAAUGUGUUGUGCUGAGCUCUAGCUAGCUCCUUUUGAAGACAAUGCAUGCCCUAAGAAAACGUACAGGCUAAUUUAGUUUACAACUAGGAGAUUUAACAGGUUGGAGUGGAUAUUUAAGGGAGGUCAGAGUAUCUGAGAAACAUGCAAUUAUAGACUUACUUGCUUGGUCAAAAAUAAUGAGUUUCAAGCUAAACUCGGAGUGGUAUAGAAAAUGCUUUUCCCAUUCUCCAAACGUUUUCACAGUUUCAGAUAUUUUUCCCAUUUCUGAUCUGGAGCAAGUCUGCAACUGCUCAUGAGACAGAAAAGAAAAAGAAAAAAAGAGCCGACUCCAAUUCACGUUCAAGGCCUUUUUCUGCCUUUUAUCAAGGUGCCUGAUCUAACCGCUGGGUUAUUGGCAAUUUUGUGUAAGUGAGCACUCAGCUGCCUCUUUCAUUUUCUCCUUUUUCCACUUGUUGAUUGCCAGCACUCCAAAUGAAACAUUUCAAACUAUAUUUCUUCCUUCAUAUGCAAGUAGAAGCUCCCAGAAAACUUCUCAGUUAACAGCUUUUGUACAGCGAGUUUGCAUCCUUGAAGGUUGUGAUAAUGUUUGCAGAGGCAACCCAGAAAACACAAAUAUUUCUGGUUAUUAGUGAACACAAUCAACUUUUCUAGCGGUCUCCUAUCCCUCCCACCUUUGGGUCUGCUCCCAGUGGGCUCAGACAGGCAGAAAGUUCUGCACCUUUGCAUCUCAUUCUCCACUACUUCCUUUGACUUCUGUCUGCAAAAUUCUGAUGACCCCGUGGCUGUGCCACAGCUGUGGGGUACGAGCGAUGCCAAUUGCUUUAGUGCAGAAGAGCAAAGCUUCCAGCCUUAGGAGAGCUGUGAACUAUGUUUCUGAGCAGCUCAACAGCAGCACAGCCCUUAGGUUGUCCACUGAGUAAAGAUCGUCUGCCACAAAUUGCAUCUUUGAGGUAGCCUGUGUAGGACAUACGCACAAGGAGAUGUGAGGGCCAGGAAUUAGAACCUGGAUAAUGGCCAGAAAUAGAGACUCCUUCAAUCACAACAAAGAAACCUUGACAUUAUGUCUCUGCUUUAAUCCGUGUUCAGACCAGAUCCUGAAGUCUCAAUGUGAAAAUAGUGGGGCAGGAGAUCUCAGAAAUAAAAUACUGCAAAGGAGUUGAAGUGCAAAGAAUUGUCUCCAGAUCCAUCACAGGCCUUGCAAGAGGAAGCUGGUAAAGUGAAGCUGGUAAAAGGUUUCCAAGAAGGAAGGCAAACAGGAUGAAGAGCUCCUGCUGUUUCUCUGUGGGUUUCUCAGUUCUUCCCGUUUGAGAUGAGCAAGAUUUCCCAGCAAUAAGGUUUAAGGUUAUUGCAUAUCAUCCUUCUGCUGCAUCUGAUCGACCUGCAACCCAGAGGAGACCAGCACAUUAUCGAAGAGCUGCUGAGACAAUGUCUAGAGAAGCAGCCUUGGAUCUCAUGUCAGAGUGAACCAGGGGAUGAAGAAGGCAUCACCAGGAAGGUCCUCAGGCACCUAGUCUGAAAGGAUGUUCUGCUCUGAUUUUGGGUAUUAUGAACAUAAAUGUGACAACGACUGGUGACGAAAAACAUGGGAUCCACACAGCAACGAAGAUGAAUAACAGAAGGAGUUCAGAAAGCACAAGAACCCAAGCACAGGCGCAUGGGAAGAAGAGUGGAUGUCCCAGCAAGCCUCAGGUGCAGAAUCGCCCUUCGAUCCACAAAGGCUCAGAAAUGCGGAUUUCUUUCAACCAUGUCAGACAGCUGGUGUGCCUGGAGUGUGAUAAUUCUGUUACACAGAGCUAAUUGGAGCUGUGUGUCUGGAAGUGCCUGGUCCCUGGAACAUUCCCAUGAUGCUUGAACCCAGCUGGAAGGCUACACGCCAUGUGAGGGAAGAGGAAGCCUCAGAGCUGUCAGAAGAACUGACUUAAGACAGAUCACUGAGGAUCUAAUUGCCUCCAAAAUACUCAAGCCUGUACUGGAAGCCAAAGGGAGAAGCACUGCUGAAAAUCAAAGCCUUUUUGUUUAGACUCGGGCGUUCUGAAAUCCUUGCUUGUAAAACUCCGUGUGUGCCUCCUGACUUCAAACAAGAAGCGCCGGCGAGGCAGGCCAGCUCCAGAGGAGCACGACAGCCCAAACCGCUCAACCAUUAAUUACGCUGACAAUAAGAAGCCCAAGAAGCUGAACGGGGCUGUUCGUGCCUAACGAGGGAGCUGCAGGGACUCUGAGGCGCUGGGAAGGUGCGUGGCCUUGCCGGGGAGGUGGCUGUGACGCUGCUGCCGGGGUGCAGCUCAGCAAAUGUUCCCAUCGCCUGGGCCGGCCGCGCUGCGCCAUUGCCGGGUGCCGCGCUGUCGACGGUAUGAAAGCGAGCUCUUUGAAGAUCUCUUGGUAACACUUCACCAAGUGUCACUCGUAAUUGCUUCCUUGCCUACGAAGUAGUUGCUUUGUGCAGUUCUCGUCUCAAACAUUGUAUCAAAGUGUUAUAAAGUGCUUUCAUUGCUAAUAAACACUAACUAUGGUGCUAUAAAAACUUGUCAAAAAGCUCCAUAGGGCAUGAAUCUCACUGAAUAAAUUAUAUGUGCCUUUAAUACAUUAAUGUAAACUGUUACUGUUUCUGAGCACUACCAGGCAGCUUACAGAUCAAUCAAUGAUAAAAUUAUUCAUACAUAACAUUAACGUAAGAUACUAUCAGUUUCUUGAUUUUUUUCUUUUCUUUGGUACAAAUACUUGAGUUUGCCUGUUUGGCUGUGCUCCACUUCAUGUAGCAAUGCUGCAUCCUUCCAUUCCUUCCAAAGCGACAAAUCCAUAUCUUAUUUCCUUCACUUUUUUUAAAAAAAUUAGUGUAUUACUGUGGUUUGCACCUAAGCGGCUGUUACGUGUCUCUGCAGAGGUGGCUUCACUCUGGUGGCGGAAAAAGUGCUGCCAGGACUCAGACCUUUAGAGACUUUGAGGCUAAAGGAAUUUCUUUACUUCAUGUUGAGAGAGGUAAGGAUUUCAGAGCAAUAUAAUGCUCCUAUGAGGGUGUCGCAUUAUAUGGUGUGUGACAUCAUGCCUAGGCAAAGCACAAAAAUGGAGAAAAAAAAAUAUGAUGGGGAUGUACGAGGAUGUGAACUACCUCUUUGUUUUUCCUGUCAUACAAGUGGAUGGACGUGAAGAUAAGCUAAAUUCAGUCUAAUAUCCACAUAUUUGUGCUAGAUUAUUUGGAAAGUGGUCUGGAAAGGGUUGUUCUUUACAGCAGUGUUUCCCAAGCUAUUUUGGCCUGCUGCCCUCUUCCAGGAGAGUGUAAAAUGCAGGCUGAUGCCCUUGGAAAUGCUGAAUGCUUGGCUAAUGCUGUGGGCCAUGGAAGUACCUGCCCGUUUCCAGGUGUAGGAUAAUGCCCAGGUCAGUGACCAACGAUUCAGAGAUCCUUAGUAACACCGAAUCCUCCUGGGACUGAAUGAACUCCCUGACAAAAACUCUUACUAGCUCCAAGAGGAUCAACAACUGACCUGGAAGAGCAUCUUUCUGAACUGGAACAAAGUCGACGAUCUCAGAAGCAAAGGCACCCAGCUGCACUUGGACUCACAGCAGAGGCAGCAGCAGUUGCAGGUGGUCCCGACUGCCUGCAGGAGUCUCAGGGUGCGUUCCCACCGCGCAGGUGCAUUCUAUGUCAUUAUUUAAGGAUGCUGCUGCCACGAUAACUAACAAAUACUGGUUUAUA